GACAGAGGGUGCAAACGUUGCUCGGAAUCACUGGGCGUAAAGGGCGUGUAGGCGGGAAGGAAAGUCAGAUGUGAAAGCCCUGGGCUCAACCCAGGAACUGCAUUUGAACCUCCCUUUCUUGAGUGUCGGAGAGGAAAGCGGAAUUCCUGGUGUAGAGGUGAAAUUCGUAGAUAUCAGGAGGAACACCGGUGGCGAAGGCGGCUUUCUGGACGACAACUGACGCUGAGACGCGAAAGCGUGGGGAGCAAGCAGG
This 253-nucleotide ribosomal RNA is filed under the name uncultured bacterium. RNAcentral describes it as "partial 16S ribosomal RNA". It matches the Rfam family "Bacterial small subunit ribosomal RNA", at positions 524 to 776 of the family's 1533-position model. The record is from RNAcentral.